GAAAGAGUGCGUAACAGCUCACUGGUCGAACGCGACUGCGCGGAAGAUGGAACGGGGCUCAAGCUGGUCACCGAAGUCAGGGACUUGCUGUAAAGCAAGUGGUAGGAGAGCGUUGCCAUUGCGGCGAAGGCGUCUCGGCAAGGGACGUUGGAGCGAUGGGAAGUGAGAAUGCAGGCAUGAGUAGCGAACACAAUGUGAGAACCAUUGUCGCCGAAGGUCUAAGGUUUCCGACGGAAGGUCAGUCCGCGUCGGGUGAGUCGGGCCUAAGCUGAAGCGGGAACGCGAAAGCGAUGGACAACCGGUGAAGAUUCCGGUACCGAGUGAUGGAGCCAACCAGAACGCUUGGGGAAAACGCAGCCUCCGGAUGGAUGGAGGUGGCAAGAGGUUAAUGACCUUGACGCCGUGCCUUCGGGCAAAAAGUGCGUGGCACCUUGAGCCAAGAAAAGCUGGGGAAGCGAUGAAAUCACGCGACCGUACCCCAAACCGACACAGGUAGAUAGGUUGAGAAUACCAAGGCGAACGGGAGAACCCUUGUUAAGGAACUAGGCAAAAUGGCCCCGUAACUUCGGGAGAAGGGGCGCCACCGCGAGGUGGUCGCAGUGAAAUGGCUCUACCGACUGUUUACCAAAAACACAGGUCUGUGCUAACGCGAAAGCGGACGUAUACGGGCUGACGCCUGCCCAGUGCCGGAAGGUUAAGAGGAGGGGUGCAAGCUCUGAAUUGAAGCCCCGGUGAACGGCGGCCGUAACUAUAACGGUCCUAAGGUAGCGAAAUUCCUUGUCGGGUAAGUUCCGACCCGCACGAAAGGCGUAACGAGUGGAGCACUGUCUCAACAAGGGACCCGGCGAAAUUGAAGUACGUGUGAAGAUGCGCGUUACCCGCAGCUGGACAAAAAGACCCUGUGGAGCUUUACUGUAGCCUGUCAUGGCGUUAGGGCUGCGUCUGUGUAGGAUAGCUGGGAGGCAGAGAAGCGAGUGCGCUAGCAUUCGUGGAGCCAACGGUGAAAUACCAGCCUGACGGAGCUUUGACCCUAACUUGAGCAAUUGAGGACAGUGGCAGGUGGGCAGUUUGACUGGGGCGGUCGCCUCCUAAAGAGUAACGGAGGCGUUCAAAGGUGGGCUCAGGCUGAAUGGAAACCAGCCAAAGCGUGCAAAGGCAGAAGCCCGCUUGACUGCGAGGGGUACAUCCCGAGCAGAGACGAAAGUCGGACUUAGUGAUCCUACAGCAUCCGAGUGGAAGGGCUGUAGCUUACCGGAUAAAAGCUACCCCGGGGAUAACAGGCUAGUCUGGUCCAAGAGUUCAUAUCGACGACCAGGUUCGGCACCUCGAUGUCGGCUCAUCACAUCCUGGGGCUGGAUAAGGUCCCAAGGGUUGGGCUGUUCGCCCAUUAAAGUGGUACGCGAGCUGGGUUCAGACCGUCGUGAGACAGGUCGGUCUCUAU
This 1441-nucleotide ribosomal RNA is filed under the name bioreactor metagenome. Its description in RNAcentral is "bacterial LSU rRNA". It matches the Rfam family "Bacterial large subunit ribosomal RNA", at positions 1124 to 2641 of the family's 2925-position model. The record is from RNAcentral.